This 665-nucleotide ribosomal RNA is filed under the name Halobacillus sp. SCULCB HVA-4. RNAcentral describes it as "bacterial SSU rRNA". It matches the Rfam family "Bacterial small subunit ribosomal RNA", at positions 44 to 697 of the family's 1533-position model. Lineage: Bacteria; Bacillati; Bacillota; Bacilli; Caryophanales; Bacillaceae. The record is from RNAcentral.
GCGCAGGAAGCAAGCUGAUCCCCUUCGGGGGUGACGCUUGUGGAAUGAGCGGCGGACGGGUGAGUAACACGUGGGCAACCUGCCUGUAAGACCGGAAUAACCCCGGGAAACCGGGGCUAAUGCCGGGUAACACCUUCCCUCGCAUGAGGGAGGGUUAAAAGAUGGCUUCUCGCUAUCACUUACAGAUGGGCCCGCGGCGCAUUAGCUAGUUGGUGAGGUAACGGCUCACCAAGGCAACGAUGCGUAGCCGACCUGAGAGGGUGAUCGGCCACACUGGGACUGAGACACGGCCCAGACUCCUACGGGAGGCAGCAGUAGGGAAUCUUCCGCAAUGGACGAAAGUCUGACGGAGCAACGCCGCGUGAACGAUGAAGGUCUUCGGAUCGUAAAGUUCUGUUGUUAGGGAAGAACAAGUGCCGUGCGAAUAGAGCGGCACCUUGACGGUACCUAACGAGGAAGCCCCGGCUAACUACGUGCCAGCAGCCGCGGUAAUACGUAGGGGGCAAGCGUUGUCCGGAAUUAUUGGGCGUAAAGCGCGCGCAGGCGGUUCCUUAAGUCUGAUGUGAAAGCCCACGGCUCAACCGUGGAGGGUCAUUGGAAACUGGGGAACUUGAGGACAGAAGAGGAGAGUGGAAUUCCACGUGUAGCGGUGAAAUGCGCAGUAC